This 936-nucleotide ribosomal RNA is filed under the name Xylaria sp. RP238. RNAcentral describes it as "SSU rRNA". It matches the Rfam family "Eukaryotic small subunit ribosomal RNA", at positions 115 to 1060 of the family's 1831-position model. The record is from RNAcentral. Lineage: Eukaryota; Fungi; Ascomycota; Sordariomycetes; Xylariales; Xylariaceae.
GUUUAUUUGAUAGUACCUUACUACUUGGAUAACCGUGGUAAUUCUAGAGCUAAUACAUGCUAAAAAUCCCGACUCACGGAGGGAUGUAUUUAUUAGAUUAAAAACCAAUGCCCCUCGGGGCUUACUGGUGAUUCAUAAUAACUUCUCGAAUCGCAUGGCCUUGCGCCGGCGAUGGUUCAUUCAAAUUUCUGCCCUAUCAACUUUCGAUGGCAGGGUCUUGGCCUGCCAUGGUUACAACGGGUAACGGAGGGUUAGGGCUCGACCCCGGAGAAGGAGCCUGAGAAACGGCUACUACAUCCAAGGAAGGCAGCAGGCGCGCAAAUUACCCAAUCCCGACACGGGGAGGUAGUGACAAUAAAUACUGAUACAGGGCUCUUUUGGGUCUUGUAAUUGGAAUGAGUACAAUUUAAAUCCCUUAACGAGGAACAAUUGGAGGGCAAGUCUGGUGCCAGCAGCCGCGGUAAUUCCAGCUCCAAUAGCGUAUAUUAAAGUUGUUGCAGUUAAAAAGCUCGUAGUUGAACCUUGGGCCUGGCUGGCCGGUCCGCCUCACCGCGUGCACUGGUUCGGCCGGGCCUUUCCCUCUGGGGAGCCCUAUGCCCUUCACUGGGUGUAGUGGGGAACCAGGACUUUUACUGUGAAAAAAUUAGAGUGUUCAAAGCAGGCCUAUGCUCGAAUACAUCAGCAUGGAAUAAUAGAAUAGGACGUGUGGUUCUAUUUUGUUGGUUUCUAGGACCGCCGUAAUGAUUAAUAGGGACAGUCGGGGGCAUCAGUAUUCAAUUGUCAGAGGUGAAAUUCUUGGAUUUAUUGAAGACUAACUACUGCGAAAGCAUUUGCCAAGGAUGUUUUCAUUAAUCAGGAACGAAAGUUAGGGGAUCGAAGACGAUCAGAUACCGUCGUAGUCUUAACCAUAAACUAUGCCGACUAGGGAUCGGACGA